UGGGGAAUAUUGCACAAUGGGCGCAAGCCUGAUGCAGCCAUGCCGCGUGUAUGAAGAAGGCCUUCGGGUUGUAAAGUACUUUCAGCGAGGAGGAAGGCGUUGUGGUUAAUAACCGCAGCGAUUGACGUUACUCGCAGAAGAAGCACCGGCUAACUCCGUGCCAGCAGCCGCGGUAAUACGGAGGGUGCAAGCGUUAAUCGGAAUUACUGGGUGUAAAGCGCACGCAGGCGGUCUGUCAAGUCGGAUGUGAAAUCCCCGGGCUCAACCUGGGAACUGCAUCCGAAACUGGCAGGCUAGAGUCUUGUAGAGGGGGGUAGAAUUCCAGGUGUAGCGGUGAAAUGCGUAGAGAUCUGGAGGAAUACCGGUGGCGAAGGCAGCCCCCUGGACAAAGACUGACGCUCAGGUGCGAAAGCGUGGGGAGCAAACA
Molecule: ribosomal RNA, 427 nt
Filed under: uncultured bacterium
Lineage: Bacteria
Description: partial 16S ribosomal RNA
Rfam family: Bacterial small subunit ribosomal RNA
Source: RNAcentral